UGAUUAAAACUGUCUUCAUUAUAACCACAAUAUCACACAGCAAAAUCAGAAGUGUUGUUGUUGUCUGUUAAAAAUACGGAGUUAAUUCAACACUUGUUUAGUCUAGCUCAACGAUAUGAGUGUUAGUUUCUCCAAAGAGUUGCUGUUAUUCCGGGGAGUUAAAUUGAAGCAACUCAAUCAGGUGUUGAAUUUAAAAUCAACGCCUGACAGAGUCGCUCCCAGAAGUCCAACGUAUCUGUGACGUAUCUGUGACGUAUUUGUUGAAGAGCGGGACCGCAGUCUCAUGAAGUCUGGAGCUGACAUCGUGACAAGGUCAGUUUUUUUUCAGUUGAUCUCAUGAGAGGAAAGCAAAGCAAAAAUGUUUGUGUCUCUACACAUCCAUGGUGAACAUCCUGUAAAUAAUGGCACAUUGUGGCUUCCUUUUCUUUCUUCUUCAUGAGUUCAUCAUGUUGGUGAAGGUGAGAUUUGGAGAAAUGCAGAAGUAUGUCAAAGUGGCUGAGACUGAAGAUGGUUAUGACUUCAACACAUUUCUUCAGAAAGUCAUUGAGAAGCUAGAUCUUCCACUUGAGACUGAGCUCCACUUGACAGAUGAAUCAGGGACAGAAGUCGAUGCAGAUGUUUGAGGAUCUUUUGCAAGCAGGGAGCCUUACUGUUCAGGUGACAACUGAAAGGUCAACAGGUCAGUUGUGCUUCAACAUGAUUUAUCAUCUGCUUCGUUGGAGUCAACCAUGUCAGGCAACUCAUCUGUGGCCGUUUCUGGAGACUCCUUUCUAGCGUCCUCUGAUUCAUCUGAUGCCGCAGUGAUUGUUCACACAAACGGAGGGACCGUCCAAGAUCUGAGAGGAACUGACAGGAAGCAGCUAAAGUGACGAUGUGAACGCCUCAACACACCUCAUACACCUCAGCUGACAGAGGAUAGAGGACCUGUGGAGGAGGAGGAAAGGAGGAAGAGGAUGCAGGUGGUGGAGAGGUUUCAGACGGCUCCUUCUGAGGAAAUAGCAGCUCUCUGUGGAUCCAGGGUCAUCAGUUGGUACCAGAACCUCAAUCUAAAAAUGAACCUUUUUGGAAGAUCUUGGUCAGACUGGAAUCUUUACCUCAUUGCUUCAGUCCAAACUAGAUCAGGUCUUUGAUCCGAUUGUUCAUCCUCCUCCGUCUCCAUCUGGACAAUCGUCUCGUCGUUGGACGCCGAUCUAUGAGAUGAACUUUCCUGACCUCUGUGUGUAUUAGAGACUCAACAGGAUGACCUGGAUCAUUAUGAAGCAUCUGAUGAUGUGUUCAAGGAACAGAGGACAGAACAACUGAGGACUGGAAACAUGUAGCAUGAGUCAUGUUUUGUUUUCAUAGAAGAAGUUUUUCUCAGUGGCUGUUUUGUUCCUCUGAGAAAGAUUUAGUUUUGUGUUGAUCUCAGUAUUUCCCAGUUUUAUGUUUCAUUUUGUUGUGAUUCUUGAAGUGUGAUUGUCAAAAAGAAAACUUUAUUUAAAUCAUGUUGAAUUAAUUCAACUUUAACUGUCCUUUUAUUUGGUUUUGUCCCUAAACUUUAAACCAACUUUUUAUUAUUCUGAAACAUUGCUGAUAAACUGUUGGAGAUGAUGACCUCAGAGUGGAAAGUUUGAACCAUGUUUCAUGUAUCAUGUGUGACCUGGUAGAUCAAGGUGUUGGUUAGUAUGAACUGCAUGGGCUUCAUCUAAAACCAACUUGGUCAGGGUUUAAACGCAGCAAACUGGAGGAAGGACAGACAGGGUAUGAAACACAGAAAACAUCUGAUUCAUGGAGACACUGAUCAAGAAUGAUCAUAUCUGUGCAGCGUCCCAACUCAGUUACCUUCUGCUACAACUAAUCUGUCCACUAGAGGGAGCACAGAUACUUCCACAGGUUCUGCUUCAAACUUAAAGAUGAAAUAACUGCAUUCAGUGUUAUUUGACUACUUUGUUAAAUCUUUGAAUAAAGAAAUGUCUGUUUUUA
Molecule: long non-coding RNA, 1962 nt
Organism: Girardinichthys multiradiatus
Lineage: Eukaryota; Metazoa; Chordata; Actinopteri; Cyprinodontiformes; Goodeidae
Exons: 6
Source: RefSeq, a predicted model, not a curated record